This 29957-nucleotide long non-coding RNA is filed under the name Brassica napus (rape). Its description in RNAcentral is "long non-coding RNA (BNAP_LNC009615)". The record is from RNAcentral. Lineage: Eukaryota; Viridiplantae; Streptophyta; Magnoliopsida; Brassicales; Brassicaceae.
UUCCUUCUCACCAAUGCCUCCAUCUACCGAACGGUCGUAGAAGUCGAGGAAGAUGAUGCCACAAACCCAGCCGGCCCAUUUCGGAUUCCGAAAUGUAGGAAGGAGUUUCAGCAAGCACAACACCUAAGAGCUUGCCAGCAAUGGCUCCACAAGCAGGCAAUGCAGUCCGGUAGUGGUCCAAGCUGGACCCUCGACGGUGAGUUUGAUUUUGAAGACGACAUGGAGAACCCUCAGAGCCCACAGCAGAGGCCACCGCUACUCCAGCAGUGCUGCAACGAGCUCCACCAGGAAGAGCCACUUUGUGUUUGCCCAACCUUGAAAGGAGCAUCCAAAGCCGUUAAACAACAGGUUCGACAACAGCAAGGACAGCAGGGACAGCAGCUGCAGCAAGUAAUUAGUCGUAUCUACCAGACUGCUACGCACUUACCUAAAGUUUGCAACAUCCCUCAAGUUAGCGUUUGUCCCUUCCAGAAGACCAUGCCUGGACCCUCCUACUAGAUUCCAAACGAAACCCUCGAGUGUAUGAAUGUGGUUGUCGGUAUAUGUCAACGCCACACUUCAUCGCGUAAUAUGUAAGGUCUUAUCUAGGAUGUUUGAGGCUAUGUAAUUAGCACUACUCCAUAAUAAAAGAGGNNNNNNNNNNNNNNNNNNNNNNNNNNNNNNNNNNNNNNNNNNNNNNNNNNNNNNNNNNNNNNNNNNNNNAAAAAAUAUUUUGAUAAGCGAAAAAUUAAAAUCAUGUAAUUAUAAACAGUUUUAAGUGAUAUAAAUUAAAAUAUAACAAAAUUGAAUUGUUUUCAACAUAGAUGAGUGUAGGUAGUGAAUCAUGGUAUUCUUUGGUCUAGGGUUUGACAACAUAUGUUGUAGUAUUGUAUGUAUACUUAGGGUUAGAUUUUGGAAAGCUUGAAUGUUUUUUUGAAAAAUUAAUUUUUUACCUAUGCAUGUUUAUUUUUGUGUAUAGUAAAUACUUUUGAAGUUUAAUUUGGUUUUAUGAAGUGUUUAGUUAGUUAAUUAAGUUUAGGGGUAAUGUUUAUGAUCUAGACUACUUACAUUUCAGUCGUAUGGUGAAGAAAUUAAAACAGACGACUUACAUGUAAGUCGUCCAAAUAUUUCCGCCUAAAAUUUUUUUAAAAAUUAUUUUCCCGCUUAAAUAAUAUAAACCAGACGACUUACUUGUAAGUCGUCUAGAAAGUGUUCUAUUUUAGUUUCUCACUAAAAAUAUUUUAAUUUCCCGCUAAAAAUAUUAAAACCUUCUGGACGACUUACAAGUAAGUCGUCUGAAUCAAACAUAUUUAACCUAAUUGAAUUUUUUGUCUCCCUAUAUAAAGAAAAAUUUACACAUUUUCUCUCCUCCUCUCAAAUGGCUGCAACAAAAAUGUAAUGUUCAUCACUCUAAAAGUCUUCAACCUCUCUCUAAUCUUUUUGACUUGAAAACACCAAACUUUAUAUGAAUUUUUCAGUUUUGUCUCAUGUCUUUCUUAAUAAUCUAUCUUUUUUGCAGGUUUUUAAUCAGAUGGUACUCAUCUUCCACUCAUUUAAAGGUAGAUCUAUUAAUUUUAGAUAUAUAUUUUUGUGUGUUCUAUAAAGGUAGAUUUAUCUAAUCUUCCACUCAUUUUCUCUAUUUUUAAGUCAUUUGAACGUUUUUGGAUAUGCAGGUUUUUCAGAUCUGGAUUUGAUAUGCAGGUUUUUCAGAUCUGGAAGACUUCUAUAAUGUUCUUGAUCGAUCACCGGUUUUUGAUGGUAUAUUACAAAGUCGAGCUCCAAAAGUUAAUUACAUUGUCAACGGACAUGAGUACCAUUUGGCUUACUAUCUCACAGAUGAUAUUUAUCCAAAAUGGGUUACUUUUGUCCAAUCUAUUCCACUCCCGCAAGGUCUGAAAGCAUCCUUAUUCGCUACACAUCAAGAAGCUGUAUGUAAAGAUGUCGAGCGUGCUUUUUGGGUCUUACAAGCUCGAUUUGCCAUAGUAAAAAAUCCAGCUCUUUUGUGGGAUAAAAUAAAAAUUGGAAAGAUAAUGAGAGCAUGUAUCAUUCUACAUAAUAUGAUCGUAGAAGACGAACGAGAUGAGUACACUCAGUUUGAUGUAUCAGUUUUCGCACAACCAGAAUCAAACCGAAGUUCACAAGUGGAUUUCACGUAUUCUACAGAUAUGCCUUCAAAACUCGGCAAUAUGAUGAGCAUUCGGAAUCGAGUUCGUGAUAAUACAAUACAUCAACAAUUGAAAGCGGAUUUGGUUGAGCAUAUAUGACAAAAAUUUGGAACAAUCAAGAUUUCAACUAAUCGGUUUUUUCUCGUUUACGAUUUGUAUUUGUAUUUUUAAUAUGCUUUUAUGUCAUUUUUAUUAAGAAUUUUAAUGUAUGAUUUUAUUUUUAAUCAUUCUAUUUAAAAAUGAAUUAUUUAAGAACCCCUUGGGGUUCUCCCAUUGGGAGAGGAAUACAUAAUUUCCUCAAACAAAGGUUCUUUAACUACUCAAAUCACUUUAUUAAAUAUUAAUUUACUCCUAAAAACCCAUUAGAGGUUCUAAUGGAUGGACUUGCUCUUAACGAUCCCGAAUUACAUAGUUAUGUGUUCUCACACUUUCUCUUACAAGUGUUUUUAACCGCUUGCUUAAACUUUAAAUUUUAGUUUACCAUGUAAUUAAUUAUGAUCAGUGCCAUUGUGUGAUUCCUUUUUCUUAAAUAUCUUAACUUGAAUUAACUAAAUGUUUAAAAGGAAAUUCGUUUUUUAUAAAAAAUAUACAAAAUGUCAGAAUAUGAACUACACAUCAUACAUGCAUGGUUGCAUGGCAUGUAGACGCGGAAACUUGUCACUCCUCCACAUUUGAGAUUCCAACACCUAAUCGCUACAAAAACCUUAUAGAUUCUCCCUUUCUCACAAACAAACAAACACAUUCAUGCAAUGUUACACGUGAUCUCCAUGCAGAACAUCUUUCACGCCUAUAAAUACCAACCAACACUCCACUUCCCUCUUCACUCAAACGAAAACAAGCAAAAAACAUACACACAAAUAGCAAAUGGCCAACAAGCUCUUUCUCGUCUCGGCGACUCUCGCCCUCUUCUUCCUUCUCACCAAUGCCUCCAUCUACCGAACGGUCGUAGAAGUCGAGGAAGAUGAUGCCACAAACCCAGCCGGUCCAUUUAGGAUUCCGAAAUGUAGGAAGGAGUUUCAGCAAGCACAACACCUAAGAGCUUGCCAGCAAUGGCUCCACAAGCAGGCAAUGCAGUCCGGUAGUGGUCCAAGCUGGACCCUCGAUGGUGAGUUUGAUUUUGAAGACGACAUGGAGAACCCUCAGAGCCCACAGCAGAGGCCACCGCUACUCCAGCAGUGCUGCAACGAGCUCCACCAGGAAGAGCCACUUUGUGUUUGCCCAACCUUGAAAGGAGCAUCCAAAGCCGUUAAACAACAGGUUCGACAACAGCAAGGACAGCAGGGACAGCAGCUGCAGCAAGUAAUUAGUCGUAUCUACCAGACUGCUACGCACUUACCUAAAGUUUGCAACAUCCCUCAAGUUAGCGUUUGUCCCUUCCAGAAGACCAUGCCUGGACCCUCCUACUAGAUUCCAAACGAAACCCUCGAGUGUAUGAAUGUGGUUGUCGGUAUAUGUCAACGCCACACUUCAUCGCGUAAUAUGUAAGGUCUUAUCUAGGAUGUUUGAGGCUAUGUAAUUAGCACUACUCCAUAAUAAAAGAGGAUUUUAGUGUUUUAUUCGGUGUGCAUGCUCUCUAAGUGGUUCAAGAUUUUAGUUUUCAAGCAAAUUCCAAUCAAAAUUGUGCGUUACUUACAUCGGCUGUUUAACGGCGUGCAAAACACCGAUCGAACUGAUCUACGAGGGCAUAUGCCAUCGUUCAAUCUCUGACCAAGUCUCUUACAAUAAAUUAAUGAAUAAUAAUACUAAUUAAGCAAAAAGAGAGAGAAGUGAACGAUCAGCUCUUCAGACCACCUCCAGGACCCCUAAUGGGUACUGAAAAUUAAAUUAGUGUUUAAUUUAGUGAUUUGAAAGGUUUAGAACCUCUAUUAAUCUAUUUAAUUUUUUCAUCUUCUAUUGGUAGAACUUCAUUGAGGUACUUAAAAAAUAAUUUAUUUUUUUUAAAGUUGAAUGAUUUGAAAGACCAUGAUACAUAAAAUUUUCAGGGGAAUUUGUCAAAACUAACCCACAACUUAAUUUUAAUCCCAAACAUAUACUCAAACUUGAAUCAAAUGCAAAGCUAAUAUAAAAGCCUUGUGAAAUUACAGCUCAACCACUUUUUCUAAGUCAUUUUUACGAAUAUAGCCCUAGUAAAUCGUCUGAGUCGUCUGAGAUGUUGGAAGUCGUCUGGACGACUUCAAAUUAAGUCUUCUGGUGUAGUUGAUCUUAAAAAUAACUUUUAAAUUUUUUAAAAAAUAUUUUGAUAAGCGAAAAAUUAAAAUCAUCUAAUUAUAAACAGUUUUAAGUGAUAUAAAUUAAAAUAUAACAAAAUUGAAUUGUUUUCAACAUAGAUGAGUGUAGGUAGUGAAUCAUGGUAUUCUUUGGUCUAGGGUUUGACAACAUAUGUUGUAGUAUUGUAUGUAUACUUAGGGUUAGAUUUUGGAAAGCUUGAAUGUUUUUUUGAAAAAUUAAUUUUUUACCUAUGCAUGUUUAUUUUUGUGUAUAGUAAAUACUUUUGAAGUUUAAUUUGGUUUUAUGAAGUGUUUAGUUAGUUAAUUAAGUUUAGGGGUAAUGUUUAUGAUCUAGACUACUUACAUUUCAGUCGUAUGGUGAAGAAAUUAAAACAGACGACUUACAUGUAAGUCGUCCAAAUAUUUCCGCCUAAAAUUUUUUUAAAAAUUAUUUUCCCGCUUAAAUAAUAUAAACCAGACGACUUACUUGUAAGUCGUCUAGAAAGUGUUCUAUUUUAGUUUCUCACUAAAAAUAUUUUAAUUUCCCGCUAAAAAUAUUAAAACCUUCUGGACGACUUACAAGUAAGUCGUCUGAAUCAAACAUAUUUAACCUAAUUGAAUUUUUUGUCUCCCUAUAUAAAGAAAAAUUUACACAUUUUCUCUCCUCCUCUCAAAUGGCUGCAACAAAAAUGUAAUGUUCAUCACUCUAAAAGUCUUCAACCUCUCUCUAAUCUUUUUGACUUGAAAACACCAAACUUUAUAUGAAUUUUUCAGUUUUGUCUCAUGUCUUUCUUAAUAAUCUAUCUUUUUUGCAGGUUUUUAAUCAGAUGGUACUCAUCUUCCACUCAUUUAAAGGUAGAUCUAUUAGUUUUAGAUAUGUAUUUUUGUGUGUUCUAUAAAUGUAGAUUUAUCUAAUCUUCCACUCAUUUUCUCUAUUUUUAAGUCAUUUGAACGUUUUUGGAUAUGCAGGUUUUUCAGAUCUGGAUUUGAUAUGCAGGUUUUUCAGAUCUGGAAGACUUCUGGGACGACUUACCUGUUAGUCGUCUGGAAGUCGUCUGGAAGUCGUCUGGACUUCUUGGAAGUCUUCUGACAAAGUCGUCUGGACUUCCAGGAAGUCGUCUGGACUUCGACGAAGUCGUCUGGACUUCCAGGAAGUCGUCUGGACUUCCAGGAAGUCGUCUGGACUUCCAGGAAGUCGUCUGGACUUCCAGGAAGUCGUCUGGACUUCCAGGAAGUCGUCUGGACUUCCAGGAAGUCGUCUGGACUUCCAGGAAGUCGUCUGGACUUCCAGGAAGUCGUCUGGACUUCAUGGAAGUCUUCUGACGAAGUCUCCCUUUCAUAAUAGAUCUGAGCGUUUUGGUAAGUUCUUAUGUCUGAUUUUUCUUCAUUUGGUAACUUCUUGUUGUAUAAAGUUCUUACUUUUUUCCCAAACUAAAACUCUCCAAACCCACUCUAAUCUCUUUGACUUGAAAACACCAAACUUUAUAUGAAUUUUCCAGUUUUGUCUCAUGUCUUUCUUACUAAUCUAUCUUUUUUGCAGGUUUUUAAUUAGAUGGUACUCAUCUUCCACUAAUUUAAAGGUAGAUCUAUUAUUUUUAGAUAUGUAUUUUUGUGUGUUCUGUAAAGGUAGAUUUAUCUAAUCUUUCACUCAUUUUUUCUGUUUUUAAGCCAUUUGAACGUUUUUGGAUAUGCAGGUUUUUCAGAUCUGGAUUUGAUAUGCAGGUUUUUCAGAUCUGGAAGACUUCUGGGACGACUUACCUGUUAGUCGUCUAAAAUAUAAUGCACUAGACGACUUCCAGGAAGUCUUCCAGACGACUUCCAUUUCAGUCGUCUAGACUUCCUAAAAGUCGUCUAGACUUCCUGGAAGUCAUCUGGAAGUCGUCUGGACUUUCUGGAAGUCUUCUGACAAAGUCUUCUUCCAUAUCAAGUGGAGUCCAAGCUUGUCUUUGUAGAGGAAUGAUCUAUAAUAGUUUUGUUUGUGGUCUGUUUUGUGAAUUGCAUGUCUACUCUUUUAGUUGUGAAUUUUUUGUAAAAUCAGUAAUAAUGUUUUCCAAGAUGUAUUAAAUGUGCUAACAAUGUGUUUACACAUUUACAAAUCAAUGAAAUAAUAAACUUCAGUAGCCUUUUUUUAUCAAUAAUAAACAAAUCAAUGAAAUAAUAAACUUCAGUAGCCCGUCUUCCGCUGAUCCUCUCACCAUUUCUUGCGCAUAUAACAAUGCUCUGUAUGAAGUGGUGUAAUCAAGUGUCAUGCCAAACAUGUUCUUCAUUGCAUCUUUGAUAUGCUGCGGAUUCAACCCAUCAAUGAUUCCAACACGAUCUAUGAAAAGUCGACCAAUGUACUUCGGAGUACAGCGUUUCCGCUGAGCGAUUCUGUCUGGAAUGGAACAUGUAUGAGUUGCCACAUACUUGGUUACCCGAAACGUUUUAGUCCCAUGUUUCACACUUGCUCGGACCUUCCAUUGACAACCACUAACAUGAUAUGUUGCCACAAAGAGAGUUUUCGUUGACUUGAAUAUUCUGAAGGAGAACCUACGCCUCACCGCUGUCAACCGCAACUCUGAAAGCAGUGCAUCCUUACUAGCAAAACUCUGGUUGACAUAGAUUCUGUCUACAGAUGAUCCUUCUCCUUCACAACCAUAUGCCCAAAACAGAUUUCAUCAUCUUCUUCCUCAUCCUCGUCUUUAACCAUUCCAUACUCACUAUAAUCAUCAGCAUCAGCGACAACAGGGAUGUCAGCAUCCUCUUCCCCAUCAUGAUCCUCAGCUUCAUGCCCCUCCUCAGCUUCAUCCCCCUCCUCAGCUUCAUGCCCCUCUUCAGCUUCAUCCCCCUCCUCAGCUUCAUCCCCCUCCUCAGCCUCAUCUCCCACAUGAUCUUCAUCCCUUUUCUCUGAAACCGUUCUCAUCUUGCUAAAGCUUGAUACACAAAGACGUACUUCAUGCAUUUUAGUUAUCUCGAGCAAGUUCUGAACUUGUAUAUCACUUGUAACAUGAAUAGGAGGAAGGUCUGGAGCCAUCUGUUGUAAUGAGUAGGUUAACUCCACAGACUCUAUGAAACUUCAAUCUAAGUACUCAUGAUGACUAAACUAUACGUCGUCUGGUCAACGCAGAGGUUAUUUUUGCAAUUGACUUUGAAAUCUGUUAUUUCAGACGACUGAAAAAUAAGUCGUCUACUUUUGUUUGGUUUAAAGAAAAAACUCCAAAAAAGCUAGACGACUUACAUUUCAGUCGUCAUGGGUUAGUUUUGCAUUUGACUGGAUUAUUUCAGAAGUUUUACUUUCCUGGACGACUUAGAUUUCAGUCGUCUCGUGAAAAUUAAAAUAAUAAUAUUUUUUUUAAAACUAGACGACUUACAAUUAAGUCGUCAUAUGUUAGUUUUGCAAUUGAAAAAGAAAACUUCAAUAUUUAAUUAUAUAUAGAUGACUUACAAUUCCGUCGUCCGUCAGACGACUUACGUGUAAGUCGUCCAGGAUUUACGAGGUUUGACCAGAAUCUCGGAAUAAAAUCCUGGCUGAAUUGUAAGUCGUCUGGGUAUGAUUAAAUAUUGAAGUUUUUUUUUCAAUUGCAAAACUAACCUAUGACGACUUAAUUGUAAGUCGUCUAGUGUUAAUAAAAUAUUGAUAUUUCAAUUUUCACCAGACGACUGAAAUGUAAGUCGUCCGGGAAAGUCAAACUUCUGAAAUAUUCUAGUCAAAUGCAAAACUAACUUAUGACGUCUGAAAUGUAACUGUGUUUGACUUUAAGUUGUAGGUCAAUUCUGCCAAAAGCCUAAAUUUUUAUUAAAAAUGACAUAAAAGCAUAUUAAAAAUGCAAAUACAAACCGUAAACGAGAAAAACAGAUUAGUUGAAAUCUUGAUUUGUUCCACUUUAGUCGUCUGAGAAAACCGAUUUCAAAGUCAAUUGCAAAAAUAACCUCUGCGUUGACCAGACGACUUCAAACUUGAUUCUGAAUGCUCAUCAUAUUGCCGAGAUUUGAAGGCAUAUCUGUAGAAAACGAGAAAUCCACUUCUGAACUUCGGUUUGAAUCCGAAUUUUUGAAAAUUGAAAUAUCAAACUGAGUGUAUCCAUCUCGUUCGUCUUUUACGAUCAUAUUAUGUAGAAUGAUACAUGCUCUCAUUAUCUUUCCAAUUUUUAUUUUAUCCCACAAAAGAGGUGGAUUUUUUACUAUGGCAAAUCGAGCUUGCAUGACCCCAAAACCUGAAAUUGGUUGUUCAUGAUGGUUGGGGUAUUGAUGACAAUGGCAAUAUUGUAAUUACUUGAAGAUGAUGAGGGUGAGAGAGUAAAAAUGUUAUUUUCGAAAAGAAAAAAAAUUGAUGGCAUUUUCGUAAAUUAUAUGAACUUGUGGGGUGAAUAGGGCAAAACCAAUUUCCAAAAAAAAGGAGGUUAGUUCUGUGUUUGACUUUAAGUUGUAGGUCAAUUCUGCCAAAAGCCUAAAUUUUUAUUAAAAAUGACAUAAAAGCAUAUUAAAAAUGCAAAUACAAACCGUAAACGAGAAAAACAGAUUAGUUGAAAUCUUGAUUUGUUCCAAAUUUUUGCCAUAUAUUCUCAACCAAAUCCGCUUUCAAUCGUUGAUGUAUUGUUCUAUCACAAACUUGAUUCUGAAUGCUCAUCAUAUUGCCGAGAUUUGAAGGCAUAUCUGUAGAAAACGAGAAAUCCACUUCUGAACUUCGGUUUGAAUCCGAAUUUUUGAAAAUUGAAAUAUCAAACUGAGUGUAUCCAUCUCGUUCGUCUUUUACGAUCAUAUUAUGUAGAAUGAUACAUGCUCUCAUUAUCUUUCCAAUUUUUAUUUUAUCCCACAAAAGAGGUGGAUUUUUUACUAUGGCAAAUCGAGCUUGCAUGACCCCAAAACCUCGCUCGACAUCUUUACGUACAGCUUCUUAAAGUGUAGCGAAUAAAGAUGCUUUUGGACCUUGCGGAAGUGGAAUAGAUUGGACAAAAGUAACCCAUUUUGGAUAAAUAUCAUAUGUGAGAUAGUAAGCCAUUUGGUACUCGUGUCCGUUGACAGUGUAGUUAACUUUCGGAGCUCGACCUUGUAAUAUAUCAUCAAAAACUGGUGAUUGAUCAAGAACAUUGAUAUCGUUUAAUGUGCCUAGAGGUCCGAAAAACGCGUGUCAUAUCCAGAGGUCUUGUGAAGCUACAACCUCUAGAACAAUUGUUGGCUUUCCUGAUCCACGUGUAUAUUGUCUUUUCCAUGCGGUUGGACAAUUCUUCCACUCCCAAUGCAUACAAUCAAUGCUUCCUAUCAUCCCGGGAAAUCCGCGUAGCUCUCCAAUAUCGAGUAGUCGUUGAAGAUCUUCUGGAGUGGGUCUUCUUAGAUACUCAUCUCCAAAUAAAUUUAUGAUUCCUUGAACAAAAUGUUCUAAGCAUAAAAGCGCGGUAGUCUCACCAAGUCAGAGGUAUUCGUCGACCGCAUCAGCUGGGCAACCAUAUGCCAUCAUACGAAUUGCUGCCAUUUUCUUUUGUAACGGAGAGAGACCGAACCUUCUAGUAGCAUCUCCUCUUUGUUGAAAGUAUGAUAUUUCAGCGGAGAGUCGAUCAACAAUACGCCUGAACAAGGAUUUGUUCAUUCGAAAACAGCAUUGAAACAUGUGCGAAGGAUAUGUUGCAUCUUCACUAAAAUAAUCGUUCCAUAACUGCAUGUGUCCUUGUUCUCGUUGUCUUUCAAUGUAUGCUCGUUUAUUUUUUGGCGUUGAUGUUUCUUGACGAUCUUCAUAACGAGUGAGAAGAUUUUCAAAUUGUUGAUCGAAAAUUUGGUCCAAUCUCUCCUCCAUCAUAUCUUCGUAAUUAUUAUUAGAAGAAGAAGCCAUUUAGAAGAGAAAUGGUAAAUGAAUUUUUUUUUUUUUUGUAUAAAAGAAAUGUUGGAUGUUGUUUUCUUGUACGAUGGAAAGAGAAGGGAGGUAAACAAAUAAAAGAGCUUCAAACUUGUUCUUCUACACUCAGAAAAAAAAGAAACAAAGGAAAUAUUUUUUUUUAAUAUGGUAUAAGAGAAAUGUUUGAUGUUGUUUUCUUGUACAAUGGAAAGAGAAGAGGGGUAAACAAAUAAAAGAGGUUCAAACUUGUUCUUCUACACUCGGAAAGAAAAGAAGCAAAGGAAAAUUUUUUUUUAAUGGUAGAAGAGAAAUGUUCUUUUACACUCGGAGGAAACACAACUUAGAAAGGAAACACAAGUUGCUUUACAACUUGCAAACCAGCUAUGCAGCACGUUGGUUUUCUUGUACUGUCUUCUUGUCUUUACAAGUCACAUGUUCCUGUCUUCUUGUUCUGUCAAUGCACUGGAUGAUCCACAUGCUACUUUAUGUCACACGCUCUUCUUGUCUUCUUUAUGUCACAUGCUAUUGUCGCUUUACCUGCACAAGCACGAGACAAGUCUCAGUACAACACGAGAGAACAACACACACGUCUCAGUACAAUACACGAGAGCAACAGAAGAACACACACAAUUUCAUUAAUAUGUCACAUGCUAAUACAAACUCGACAUCAAGCAUAAAGCAACGAGAGAGAGCAAAAGAAGAACACACACAAUUUCAUGCUAAUACAGACUCCAUUAACUAACAGACUCGACACAAACAUCAUAAAGACACAAACAACAUACAUACUUGGCAAUUUCAACACAAAAAUCAUAAGACUCAAACUAACAUAUCAUUAAUAAGCUUGUUUUUUAAGGCAAUUUCGAGUUCAGUUAAUGGUUCAGUCUUGGCAAUGAGGCUAUCAAGCAAUUUUUGCUUGUUAAGAGUUUCCUUCAAAGCAAAAUCCGCUUGCCUAAUCUCCCAGAUGCUCUGAAAUUCCCUCCUCUCCUUCUCUUCCUCUUCCAAAGUAGCUUGCUUCCUCACUGGUUUUUUUCCUUUUGCCUUUGCUGCUUAAACCCCAACUGGCCGACCCAUAGCUUCCUCUCCAUGGCCAUCUUGCACAGAGGAUGAUGAUUGUGUCGUCUGGGCAUCCAACUUCCUUCUUUUAGACUAAACUUUAUCCUUAGUAGAAGAAGCUCCACUCCAUUCCUGAUCAUAACGAAGUUCCAACCAUGCAUGCUCCAUUGUGAACUUCUUCUUGUAAUCAUCAAAGUAAAUCUCGUGAGCCAUUUUCAAGACGUCAUUCUCGUUCUGUCCACUCGAUCUCUGUUUCGUUGCAGCUUCAUAGCACCCAACAAACUUACACACGGCUUCAUUGAUUUUCCCCCACCUUGAUUUACAGUUGUUGUCUCUCUGGGCUGCAAACCAUCGAGCUUGGGACUUGCAGUAUAGUAAGCAGCAAUUCGUUUCCAAAACGUACUUGCUUUCUGCUCAUUCUCAACCACUGCAUCCUUGGAAGUGUUCAACCAAGCACUUAUCAGCACACCAUCUUCUGUUGGUGACCAUUUAUGCCUCUCUUUACGGUCAGACACAGUCUCUGCGUCUUCAUUGCCAUCUUCAUUCCAUUAUGAACAGAAAACAGAGGCAUCAGACGCAGAGACAGACUGAUAAGGCUCACGAGGGACAGACUAAUAAGGCUCAUGAGGGACAGACGCAGAGACUGACUCAUUCCAUUGAGUGUUUGGUUGUUGACUGGUCAAGAAGUUUUGAAAGCUAUAUUGUUGAAUAUAAGGAUCCAUACGAGUUUUGGAGAAGAGGUUUUGAAAGCUAAAAAGAAAGAACAAAAUAGAAGGAAAUAGUUUUGGAGAAGUAAAUAAAUUUGGAGUCAUGGUUUAUAGUUGUUAAAGUUUUUUGUUGUUGAAGUUUUAAUGGAAAGUUUUAAUGGCAAGUUUAAAGUUUGAAGUUGGAGAAGUUUUAAGUUGUUAAAGUUUUAAUGACAAGAGAAUCAAUAUCCCUUUAUUAUUAUUUGAGGAGCAUUAUAGAUAAUUAACUUUUAGUUCAUGUGUUAUUUUCAAAAUUGUCAUUUCCUGCGUGGCAGCACCAUAAACCCUCUCACAUCUUAUAUUCAAAAAUCAUUUGUUAACUAGAUUAAUUACAAUAAUUGUCAUUGCUUGCCAUUGAUCAUUUGAUUAUAAUUUUACUAAUAUACUGUAAGCUUCUUCAUUACAAUGACUAACAAAACAUUGACGUCCAUGUUUAAUGCGUUUUCAUUAUAAUUCAAACUUACGGGCGUAUAGUCAUUUAUUCCCAGAUCCGGUCCACAAAGUUAAUUAUAUAUGAGAUAACGAUUUUGUAGAUGGUAUAAUCCGAUACAUAUAUAACUAAAAUAAGUAUAAUUUAUAACACGUGUAUGUGGACCAUCUAUAAUGAUUCGGAUUAUACCAUUAUGUGCAUAUGUAUCGGAUUUAAUGUAACAAAAUAUUACCGUUAAAAUUAUAAUCUCUUCACAAUGUUAGCAGAACUCUAACAUAUGUUAUAAAUUAUACUUAUUAUAGUUAAUAUUUAAAUAGAGUGAGACAAAAAUAUAUGCACACGUUUUUACAAGUAUUCAUCAUAUAGCAUUUUAUAAUAUGUUAGACAUUAUAUAUAUAAAUGUGAUAUAAGUAUAAUGCCUAACUAUAGUCUAAUUCAAAAAAAUGUCUAACUAUAGUGUCUACAAAUUAAUUUCGUUUAAGGACUUAUCGUAACAAGGGGAUGUCUAACUAUUACGAAAUCACGAUGGCCCAUAUAACUCCGUUUAAGGACUUAUCAUAAUUGUAAUUGUAAACCAUGAUUAAUGAUUGCUACGAAAUCACGACGUCUAACUAUUAAUAUUAAAAAGAAACAUGAUUUGCAAUAACUUUGUUCAAAUCUGGGUGAAAGUUAAAAAGACACUUCUAAUAACGUUGCAAUAUAUAUGAUAUAUAUGAAAGUUGAAAGGAAACUUCUAAUAAUUUUAGUUGUUCUAUCUCUUAAUGAAACGUGAUUUGCAAGGACAACCGUAAUUAAUGAUUGUUAAAAGGAAACUUCUAAUAACUUUGAUAUAUUUUUAAAUUACGAAUUUGGUAACGUUUUGGUAAUAAUACUUGAAUCAAAUCCGCCAUUAUUUUUUAUAAAAUUUUGGUAAUAAUAGGGAGUCGAUUAUGGUUACAAAAUUUUGUCAACUAUUAAUAUGUUGUAUAUAAGGAAGUUAUAUUGUGGAUUCAAAUUAUUCGAAUCAAUUAACAAUCGUGAAUUUUAUUUAUUUUGUUCAAUUGUAAUUUAUAAAAGGAAGUUCGAUUAUAGUGUCUACAAAAUUUAGGUAAGUUACGAUUACCAUUGGAGCCCAAGUUAUGUGAAAUUAAAUACAGUAGAACAUCUAUAAAUUAAUAAUGUUGAGAUUUUGAAAUUUAAUUAAUUUAUAGAGAUAUUAAUGUACAAAAGUUUCCUUAUUUAGAUUUUUUAUUUUAAGAUAUAUUUAUUCUAAGAUAAAAAAAAAUAUUUGAUUUUAGUGUAUAAACAUUAAUUAUUAUUUUUUGAAAAUUCACAUUUAUAUUAAUUUUAUUAUAUUAUUUGGUGUAUAUAAUAUAUAUCGCAUAGAAGUUAAAUGUGCUUUUAGAUAUAAUAUUACUAAAUCUCAUCAAAAUUUAUUAAGUGUUAAGAAAAUAUAAAGAUAAUUCUAUUGUGAAUAUAAAACAAACAAUAUAAUAGUAGGUUCUUACUUAUAUAAAAUAUGUAUAUAUAGAAAUUAUUAAUUUAUAAUUUUAAUGGGACCAUAUAUUUACAUAGAAUUUUCUAAAAAAUUAUUAUCUUAUUAUUUUAUCUAUUGUGUCAAAUUUUGAACCGACCCAAGUUGGGAUCGGCAAAAUUUAUUAAUUUAUAGAGAUUAUUAAUUUAUUGAGUAUUAAUUUAUAGAGGUUCUAGAGUAUGUAAUAAUAUAUUUAAUUACAGUGUAUCAUUAAUCACAUGGGCGCUGCCUUCUUAAUAUAAAUAUAUGUUCUCUAAAAUUCAUCGACUCACCACACACUUCUUCUCGACUUCCUAAUUAUCAAAACAUUCUCUGGAGCAAACAAAUGGUUGGCUUUAACUCCGUUUCAGAAAGUGGUAUAUCAGUUCGUUUAGUGAAUUUUUUAAGUAUGUAUGUUUUGUUCGGUAAACUAAUUCUUAGUUAUUUCUCUCUAUAGGAUUGCAAACCAGAAGUUCUGAAGACCCUUUAUCAGUUUUUUAUUUGUUUCCUUGUAAUUUGUUUCUUUCGUAUUUUAUUUUUCUAUUACUUAUGUUUUAAAUAUUAUAAUCAUAAUUUUAUUUAUGAAAUCAAUAAUUAUAUUUCCUAUGUUUUGUUUUGUCUUAAAUUCAUAAUAAAUUAAUAAAAGUUAUUGCAUACUAUUAUAUAUUUUUUACAUAAAAUAUAUCUAAUUUACACAUAACCAACUACAAAAAACAAUCUUUUUCAAAAAAAAAACAAUAUUUUUCAAAAAAAACACUUAAGAUUACAUUAUAUUCACACUUUCGUUCCAUAUAUAUCAUUAGAUCUAAUAUUUUUGUCUAUAACUUUAAAAUUUCUAAUAUCUGUAAAAUUAUUUAAAAAAAUUUCUUUUGAUCAUUCACUCCGCGUAUGGCGUGGGUUAUCACUUAGUGUAUACGCUAAAACAACCACGCAACCUAAAUAUCAAAACUAAAGUUCAUUUAAUUCUCAACCAUUUUCUAAAUCACGUAAUCAAUAUCAUGCUCACCAUUAAAAGCAAAUCUACUUAGACAGAAAAUCUACCUUACCUCUUCUUAACUCUGAAAUUAAAAGACAUAAGCUUUGAUGACCAUGAAUCCAUUGCCUUUCUUCCACAACCAACAAAGAAAGUAAAAUUAAAAGUUAUUCUCUGUAAAGAAAUAAAAUGAGUCAAAUUACACAGUAAGAGUAAUGUGACAAAUAUCAUAUGAUAUCGGCGAUGACUUUGGCGAAAGCGAUUUUUAGGGUUCCAAGAUGAUUUUUUCACGGUGGCGAGUUAUGGAUCGGCGACGGAUCCGAGAGGGUGGAGAGAGGGCUUUAUGCUAUAGGGAAGCUGAGGAGGAGUCUCGGGUUAGUGAGGGAUUUUGUGGGUUUAAUCGAUCUCGGGAGAUCUGGUUAGGUGAUUUGAGGGGUUGCGAUAAUCUCUUACAAGGAUUGGACUUGGUAAUCUUCAUUUUACGAGGAGGAGAGGCUACAAGGGAUGAGGAGGACAGGGAAACUUUUGGUACUAGAUCGGGAUUUGGAUUGAUGGUCAUUUUCCGGAGUGGUUUGCGGUUCCUAGGUUGGAAGAGAGGAGAUAGGGGUGGAUCGGGUAGGAAGGGUCCUGUGCUGCUGAUCACGUAUUCUUGGAUGACAAGGAGUUUUCAAACUUUCACUAUAUUAUUCCCAACUCAAGGCUUAAUAAAGGACACAAGCAGAAGUGAGCAGGUUCUCAUUGCUGCUUUUGGAAGGGUAGUGUUCUACUUUGCUUGGACACGAGAUAGCUUUACAAUCAGGUUUUACUAUUUAUAUGCACUGUUUGCUUGGCAUGAUGCUUAUUGGUAUGAGGAUAUAAGAAAAGUGUUUCAAGCUCGAGGAUGGUAUCUUGCGUCUUUAAGUUCGGUGAUAUUGGUUUCAUUAGACAAGAAUAUGGAGAGGAGCCAGUUCGGCCAAGUGACAAUGGUCACUGUAAUGGGUGUGGGGUCUGCUUUGAAUGACAUGGGGUUAAUGCGAUGGUCUCAGGGUGCUAAUGAGGAGGAUUUUUUCUUAUCUCAUGAUUGGGUUAAAAGGCUUAUGUGUCUUAGUGGUUCCGUACAUUUUGUUUUCAUAUUUUUAAUUUUUUGGGUAAUGUUUACUAAUGCAGUUUUACUUGGAUGUUUUGGACUUUAUGGGAGCCAAAUAUGGUAUGCUUGGGUUUUAAAAGGGUGCUUACUAAUUUGUAGUUUGCUUGGGGGUUGGAAUGCAUGGAAUAAAUUUGUUGACUUUGGUGUUUGGAUUUGUUUCAAAUCGUUGCAACGAAGGGAUCAGAAUUUUUUACUUAUGCAAUUUGAUGUUCAUGGGAGGGAAAUAAAGGAGUUGGUACAUAUGUGUUUUGUUGGUUUUGGGAUGUGGCUCGGGACAGAGCAGAACGCUUUGGCUGCACGGACUCGAGGCCUGCGGCUGGUCUCUUUAAACCAGUUGCAGAGAGUUUCUUUGGAGAGGCUUAAAGUGCUCGUUUUGGGAACAUACAGUUCAGUCAUUGUUAUUGGUUCAGGAGCUUCCACAGACUUAUAUAUGUCGUACGUGAAGCGUGUGAUUUAUCUGUUUGGUUUCUUUAUUAUAGUUUAUAUGUUUGGUUUCUCUAUUAUGGUUUUUAUUGGACCCAAUUUAAAGGGUGAGGUUGAGCUGGACAUAAUGUAUAGACUUGGAAUGGAGCAAGGGUCUAUUUUUUUCAUAUUGAAGCUGUUUACUAUGACGGUUAAUUUGGGAGUUCGGUGGAUUAUUGCUUCUUGGUGGUUGGGAUUUCAGGGUAUCAUCAAACCUAAUUUCGCUAAACUCUUGGGAGUUUUUAUUUAUAACUUUAAAUGAGAGUGCUUAGUUGGAAUUGUAGAGGUAUGGGAAGCAAGUGGACUAUGAGCUAUCUAAGAGAGAUAUGGUAUAAACAUAAACCGGAUUUUUUAUUUUUAUCUGAAACAAAACAAGACUCAAAAUUUGUUCAAGAUUUCCAAGCACAUAUUGGAUUUGAUAAUUUGUUCACGGUUGAUCCAUUGGGAAGGAGUGGUGGUUUAGCGCUUUUUUACAACAAUGAUUCUCAGGUCCAAGUCUUAUAUUCUAGUAAUAGAAUGAUCGAUGUGGAAGCGGUGACCCACGGAAAGACGGUUUAUCUUACGUUUGUGUAUGGUGAUCCUGUUCCAAAAUUAAGAGAACAAGUGUGGGAACGUUUGACGAGAUAUGGACUUGCGCGUUCAGAACCCUGGUUCAUCAUUGGGGAUUUAAAUGAGAUUACUGGAAAUCAUGAAAAGGAUGGAGGAUCACUGAGGAGUGCGGAUUCUUUUAUUCCUUUUAAUAAUAUGAUAAGGAAUACUGGGUUAUUGGAAUUUCCGGCACGGGGAAAUAAAAUGUCAUGGCAAGGGAGAAGGGGAAAAGGAAAAGGGGCAGUUACGGUAAGAUGUCGUCUAGAUCGAGCUUUAGCAAAUGAGGAGUGGCAUACUUUGUUUCCAUGUUCUUUUACAGAAUACUUAGGGAUGGUGGCUUCUGAUCAUCGCCCAGUUGUGGCUUAUCUGAAUGAUAAAGUCACUAGGAGAAAAGGGCAAUUUCGGUUUGAUAAAAGAUGGAUUGCACAAGAAGGUCUUUUGGAAUCAAUUACAAUGGGCUGGUCAGAUUAUAGUGCAACAAGGGAAACUGGGAUAGUGGAAAAAAUUAGUAAUUGUCGACAUGAAAUUGCUAAAUGGCGGAAAAAUAAUCCUCCUUAUGGGAAGGACAAAAUUAAUGAGUUACAAAAAGCUCUUGAAGAGGUACAAACAGAUAAUUCUAGAUCUCAAGAGGAUAUUAUCGAGGUCUCAAAGAAGUUGCAAGAUGCAUAUAAAGAUGAAGAGGAGUAUUGGCACCAAAAGAGUAGGAAUACGUGGUAUACAUCUGGGGAUCUCAAUACAAAAUUCUAUCAUGCUUUGACUAAGCAACGACGGGUACGUAAUCGGAUUGUGGGUUUAUAUGAUGCUUUGGGAAAUUGGAUUACGGAAGAUAUGGGUGUGGAAAAAGUGGCAGUGGACUAUUUCGAAGAGCUUUUCACUACCACUUCUCCAACGGAGUUUGAUGACUUUCUCACAGAGGUAUCACCAGGUAUUACUCCUCAAAUGAACCAACGUCUGUUAAGAGUAGCAUCAGAGGAUGAGGUCAGAGAAGCCCUUUUUAUGAUGCAUCCAGAGAAGGCACCAGGACCGGAUGGUAUGACAGCUCUUUUCUUUCAACACUCCUGGCAUAUUAUUAAGAAGGACUUGGUGGACAUGGUGAAUAAUUUUUUGGUUACUGGAACAUUGGAUCCGAGGUUAAAUAUUACUAAUAUUUGUAUGAUUCCAAAAACGGAGAGGCCUACAAGGAUGACAGAACUGAGGCCGAUUAGUCUGUGUAAUGUUGGGUAUAAAAUUAUUUCGAAGGUUCUGUGUCAGAGAUUGAAGAUAUGUCUACCUUCUCUUAUUUCAGAAACUCAGUCAGCUUUUGUGCCAGGAAGGUUAAUCUCUGAUAAUAUUCUUAUUGCUCAGGAAAUGUUUCAUGGAUUACGGACGAACAAGGCGUGCAAAGGAAAAUAUAUGGCAAUUAAAACGGACAUGAGUAAAGCUUAUGAUAGAGUGGAAUGGGAUUUUAUAAAGGCUCUCCUACAGAAGAUGGGUUUUGAUUUUCAUUGGAUUACAUUAAUGAUGGAGUGUAUAUCAUCGGUUCAAUAUCGGGUCCUACUUAAUGGACAGCCACGGGGACUUAUCGUUCCACAUAGGGGUUUACGACAAGGGGAUCCUUUAUCACCUUAUUUAUUUAUCCUGUGUACUGAGGCUCUAAUUGCAAAUAUUAAAAAGGCGGAAAGAAGGAAACUUUUGACGGGAAUGAAGGUAGCUAGAGCAUGUCCAUCGAUAUCUCAUCUGCUUUUUGCGGAUGAUAGUCUUUUUUUCUGUAAAGCUUUGAAAGAGGAAUGCCAUACUAUCCUUAGGAUCUUAAAGGAAUAUGAGGUUGUAUCAGGUCAGCUUAUAAACUUUGAUAAGUCCUCUAUCCAAUUCGGGCACAAUAUUGAGGAAUCAACUAGACAGGACUUAAGAGAUAUAUUGGGAAUUCAGAAUCUUGGAGGUAUGGGAUCUUAUCUAGGUCUUCCAGAAAAUUUGGGAGGAUCCAAGAUACAGGUUUUUAGCUUUGUGCAGGACCGGCUAAAUAAUAGGGUUAAUGGUUGGACUUUUAAGUUCUUCACAAAGGGAGGAAAAGAAGUGAUUAUUAAAUCUGUGGUAACGGCAUUACCAAACCAUGUGAUGUCUGUUUACCGUUUACCUAAGGCAACAACUAAAAAACUGACGACCGCGGUCGCACAAUUCUGGUGGAGCCCAGGGGGAAGGACAAGAGGUAUGCACUGGAAAUCAUGGGAUAAAGUGUGUCUUGAUAAGGAAGCUGGGGGCUUAGGUUUCAAGGAUAUUACAGAUUUUAAUACAGCAAUGCUUGGUAAACAGUUGUGGCGCUUGAUCGAGAAGCCAAAUACAUUAUUUUCCCGGGUUUUUAAGGGACGGUAUUACAGGAAUGCAUCACCCCUGGAACCGAUUCGCUCUUAUUCUCCGUCAUAUGGUUGGCGGAGUAUAGUUUCUGCUAGAUCUCUGGUAAGCAAAGGACUAAUCAAAAGGGUGGGAUCAGGAUCAUCUAUAUCUGUAUGGAACGAUCCAUGGCUCCCAACCACUCGCCCGAGACCAGCAAAUAAAAAUCAACAUAUUUUCGAUCCAAACCUCACAGUGGAUUCUCUUAUUGACUCUACUUCGCGGACAUGGAAUUCGCAUGCACUCAGGGCUAUGAUAGAUCCCCAGGAUGUAAAAAUUAUAGAAAGUAUACCACUGAGUAAAACCCAGAUGGUGGACAGGGAUGGAUGGCAUUUCACAAACAAUGGGAAGUAUACGGUUAAAUCAGGAUAUCAGAUCGAACGGGUUUAUCCAGACAGGGAAAGACCACCUUUAAAGUUUGGACCCACGGUUGAUGCUUUGAAGGCUUUCUGCUGGAAAAUACGGUGCCCCCCAAAGUUAAAACAUUUCUUAUGGCAAUUGGUUACAGGUUGUAUAGCAGUCAAGAAGAAUCUGAAAGCGAGAGGAAUACAAGGUGACACCUGCUGUGCACGUUGCGGAGCGGAGGAGGAAUCGAUCAAUCAUGUGUUUUUUGAAUGUCCUCCUGCACUUCAGGUUUGGGCUCUCUCCAAGAUACCAUCAAAUCCAACUAUGUUCCCAACGAGUUCCCUUUUUACAAAUAUGGAUCAUCUCUUCUGGAGAGUCUCUCCCCCGAUGGAGGACCAUCAAUUUGCAUGGAUACUUUGGUAUAUUUGGAAAGGAAGGAACAAUAAAGUGUUCAGUAAUAUGGACAUGGAUCCAAGAGACACGCUCAAAUUAGCAGAAACAGAGUCAACACUUUGGGCUAAUGCACAUGUAUUGACCGAGACCAGGAUAGGGUCCCAUGUUGAGGUUACGACUCUCCCAUCAAUUCCGGGGAGAUGGUGUUUUACAGAUGGUUCUUGGAAGGAGAAUGAAGUUUUCUCUGGGCAAGGUUGGCUAAGUACUUUAGAAGGCUUUGAUGGGUUGUUAGGAGCAAGGAAUGUCCGAGCUUGUCUAUCCCCUCUACAUGCGGAGAUAGAAGCACUACUUUGGGCAAUGGAAUGUAUGAAAAAUUUACGCCAGUUUCAGGUUACAUUUGCAACGGAUUGUUCUAAGUUGGUGAAGAUGGUUUCGGAACCAGAAGAAUGGCCCGCAUUUGCAAGUUAUUUGGAAGAUAUUAAGUCCCUGAAAGAGGUUUUCACACGUUCGGAGAUUAUCUAUGUACCAAGGAUGCAAAAUUCAAGAGCGGAUAGCCUAGCACGCAGUGCCAGGAAACAACCGUUGUUUGUCGUUCACAUGGAUCAAAAUCUACCGGAGUGGUUUACAGAGUCAGUAUGAGUCUGUAUUUGAUGACAAAAAAAAAAACGUAAAAUUUUAUAUUUUCAUAGAGUUUUUUUUAAAAAAAAAAAAAAAAAAAAAAAAAAGAAAUAAAAUGAUCAAAUAUAUAUAAAAAAUUAUCGAUAAUAUAUACAAAUUAUAUACAAAUAAGCUUAUCAUGCGCAUGGUGCAAGUUUUAUCCUAGUUACAUAUCGAAUGAGACGCAUUUAAUUUUGACCAUGACUAUAUAUAUCAACUUUAACUCAAUAUUUCUGAUUAAGCUCCCAAUAUAUAUUUUCAACUACCUCCAGAGUAUAUAGACUCUCAUCCCACUUAAUGAAUGUUUUUAUUUUAUUUUAUGAAGUUAAGUUUUUACCUUCUUUUUUAAAAAAAUAUCGUUCAUAAGAUGUCACGCCAGGACAUGAACUACACAUGCGUCACACAUAGCAUGCAGAUGCGGACGAUUGUUUUUGUUCGUCAUUUGUCAAUCACUUCAAACACCUAAGAGCUUCUCUUUCACAGAACACACACACACACACACAAUCAUAUGCAUGCAUUAUUACACGUGAUCGCCAUGCAAAUCUCAUUUCUCACCUAUAAAUUAACUCCUCAGCUUCACUCUUUACUCACACCAAAACUCAUCAUUACAAACAAGGUUAAACACAUACACAAAUGGCGAACAAGCUCUUCCUCGUCUCGGCAACUCUCGCCUUCUUCUUCCUUCUCACCAAUGCCUCCGUCUACAGGACGGUUGUGGAAGUCGACGAAGAUGAUGCCACAAACCCAGGCGGCCCAUUUAGGAUUCCAAAGUGUAGGAAGGAGUUUCAGCAAGCACAACACCUAAGAGCUUGCCAACAAUGGCUCCACAAGCAGGCAAUGCAGUCCGGUAGUGGUCCUAGCUUGGCCCUCGCCGGUGAGUUUGAUUUUGAAGACGACAUGGAGAACCCCCAGGGCUCACAGCAGAGGCCGCCACUACUCCAGCAGUGCUGCAACGAGCUCCACCAGGAAGAGCCACUUUGCGUUUGUCCAACCUUGAAAGGAGCAUCCAAAGCAGUUAAAUCCCGGGUUCAACAACAGGGACAAAUGCAGGGACAACAGCAGCAGCAAAUAGUGGGCCGUAUCUACCAGACCGCUAAGCACUUACCUAGAGUUUGCAACAUCCCGCAAGUUAGCGUUUGUCCCUUCCAGAAGACCACCCCUGGGCCCUACUACUAGAUUCCAACGAAACCCUCGAGAGUGUAUAUACCACGGUGAUGAGUGUGGUCGUUGAUGUAUGUUAACACUAAAAAGUCAUCGUGUGUGUUUUAUAAAUAAUGUACGUUAAAAUGUUCGAGGCUAAUGUAAUAAGAACUACUCCGUUGACGGUAAUAAAAGAGAAGUUUUUUUUAUACUGUUGCUCCAUCCUAAAAAGUGAUAAUUAACGACAGAUACGCCCAAAAAAACAAAUUAAUAUACUCACAAUGAAUCAGUAGUCUAAUGAACAUGUUAGACUAAAUGUCUAAUUAAGCCGUUUUUGCCAAAAAAAAAAGGGUUCAAAUCGUCCAUUGGGAUCAAACAAUGACUCAAUCAGGUUUGAUCAGAUACUCGAAAUCCUUUUUGAUCGCAUUCUCAUGAAUCCACUGUAAUAUAACGAUUUCCUAUGUUGUAAAGCCUCUUUAGUAGAAAAAUAACGAUAAGCAGCAAUAUAAAUGUAUUUCAGUUUAAGAUUAGCACUACAAGAAAUUUGGGUUUUAAUAGCAGACUAGUAUAGCAUUUUUUUCGAUUGUGCUAUUGUUGACAUACCUCUUACUUUUAGAUAGCGUUUGUGAAAAUGCAAAUACUAUCUUUGGUUGGUCCGAUUUUAGGAGGAACCCCUAUCCCGGAGCCAAUCCCCUAUUGGUCCUGCGUAAAUGUUUUUUCUAAACCUAGUAUACAUAGCAUUUUCAGUUUUGAAACGCAAUGCAUAAUUAAAAUAAUUGAUUUUUCCUUUCACCCUUGUUUCGCUUUCCUACUCACUAUAUUUUAUUUGCCUCCAAAAACCUUAACACUAAAUUUAAACCCUAAAGUUUUAACACAAUCCCUAAACUCUAAAUAAACUUUAAAUUCUAAAAUUUUAACAUUAAAUCUUAAAUUUAACUUCAUAUCUUAAAUAUAAACUAAAAAAUUACUAUUUUCAAAAGUUAAUCUCAAAUCUUAAAUCAAUACUCCAAACCCUUAACCCUCAAACCCUAUACUCAAAACUUUAUUCUAAACUCCAAACUUUAAAUCUAAAUUCAUAUCAAACUUUUCUAAAAUUUAAUACACUACAAUUUUUAACUACAUGCUAGUCUUAACUUAUAUAUAUAUAUAUAUGUGUAUUUUGCAAAUCUUGAAUUUUGGAGUUUAGGGUAUGUUUAGAGUUAAGAUCUAAAUUUAAAUCUGAAAAAAUUCAAGUUUUUAGAACUAUGUACAUAUCUACUUUAAAUGAAUUAAACAUAGAAUUUUAAUCAAACUUAUAAUAAACAUUAAAAUUAAAGAAAGAUUAGAAACAAAAAAAAUCUGUCGAUGUACAACAAGAUAUAGAACCAAAAUACUACCAAAAUAAACUUUACUGUCCAAAGUGAAAAUAAAGUAAAACAACUAAAAGAAAAAAUUCCUAUUGGUUAGUUCAUAAGCACAAGGAUUGAGCUUUUCACCGUCAGAUGACGGGAUCCUCAUCCAAUGGACCAAAAUUAUUUUUUUAUUCAGUUCUGGAAUUUUUUGAGCAAACAGAUCUCAUAUCUUUCGACACAUUCUCUUAGACAACUUCAUCUCCUCAUCUCUUUCUCCUUAGGCUUUAUUCACUACUAGCCCCCUCAUUCUCUUUGCCAAUCUCUGCUCCAUUUCUCUCUACCCUCGCGAGAUCUCUGCUCCAUGACUCAUCUUCUCUCCCUUUGUCGAUUUAUCUUUUCUUCAUCUUCUUCUCUCUUAUCAAGAAUACUAGAUCUAGAAGCAGAGGCUAAGCAUCGAUGUUUCUCACGAUACUGACAAAUCUCAUUCCGCCGCGAGACGCGGCUGAGGUGGUCGACGACUCCGACACUCGCGGUACUCUCUCUCUCUCUCUCUCUCUCUCUCUAUGUUGAAUAUGACUUUUUUGUUUGUUAAGGUGGUCGCGAGCAGAGAUGGUGGUGCGGCGGGUGAGGACUGGAAGAUGAAGAAGACAACGAAGUGCAUGGAUUGAUGCGACAACGAAGCGCAUGGAAGAACACAACGACGAAGGUGGUGGUGCGAUGGGUGAGGAUUGGAAGAUGAAGACUACAACGAAGGUGGUUGUGCGGCGGAGUUUAGUUAGUAAUUAGGUUAAAGCUUAGUUUAGCUUUUGGUUUAUUAUUUAAUUAGAUUUAUUUUUAUAUUUUUGUAAUCCAAUUUAAUUAUAAAUCAAUUUAAGUAAUAAAGAAAUUUUAAAUCUAUGAAUUAAUUUUAAUUAUGUUUUUAUUUUUAAAUAAUUUACUAAAAAUAAAUAUAAAAUAAAUAAUUUUAAUAUAAAUAAUAACAAAAAACAAACACUAUUAAAAAAUGUUUAAUUGCAUACAAAAAAAUGCUAUAAUAUAUGACAAUAAGAUAGCAUCACGAAAAACCGCUAUCUAAUGUGCUUGACCUACUAUGACGGACGAUGAUACAGCGCUUCAUAAACCGCUAUCGUAUCAUUAGAUAGCGUUUUUCGCCCGCUAAGAAAAACUUUUUUUCUUGUAGUGAUAUAGUUGUUUUCAUCACAGCAUAGCAUGAUAAAAAAUGAUCACUUAACAAAUAUAAUGAUUUUGUUUAUCUAAUGCUUGUCUAUUCAAGAUUUAGAACAUUAAUGUGAUGUUUUGUCCACACAUUGAUAACGCAGACACACUUAAGGUUAACUAGAGAUUGAUCCGCACAUCUGCGCGGAUAUUGAUUCUUACAUUUUUAUACAUUGAUAUUUAUUUUUCAUAAUUAAUGUUAUAUAUUUUACAUGGGUCUUAAUAUAACUAAUUGUAUUCAAAUGAUCUAGACCGAAUAGGGUAAUAUUGUUAUUUUUGGUACAAAUAUCCUAAUCGAUUUCAGAUACAUUUGUAAUUUAGAUAUUUUUAGGUUUAUAUACAUCAUUACCAAACUCAUCCAUACCGAGAAGAACCCAACUCAAAAUCCACACAUAAAUUUAUAAUCAAGUGGGACCUAAUUUCAAAAAAAAGCGAUACCCGAAAAGAACAGCCCGUACUUAAUUGGAUAGCCAAUGUUCAUGCGUUACUGAUUUUAUAAACUAAUAAAAAUGACUCUAACUGAUUUUAUAAACUAAUAAAAAUGAUUAUUUCUAUGUGUUUGGUUAAAUUAAGUGAAAUAGAAAGAGUUUUUUAUUUAGUAAAAUAAUUAUAUGGAUUGAAAAAUUAAGUGAUAAAAAAUGUAAUACAUUUUUAUUACAUUGAUUUAAGUUAUUAUUUUAUUCAUAAAAACAUGUCUUUGAAUUAUUUUUUGGCUUCGUAAUUUUCCACCGAUUGAAACUAAAAUAAAUAAAUAAAUUUUAAUAAAACAAACUAAACCGAAAGUUUAAACAUAUGAAAAACUCAGUUAUUUUACAUUUUUGAUUUUAUAAUUGGCACAAAAUUAAUAUUAAUUAACUAAUAAAUAAAAAUCUGCUAUAUUAUUAUUAUGGUAAUAUAAUUAAUGAUGUGAUGUAUUGAUAAGAUAAUAUAAUUAAUGAAAUUGUUAAACUGAGUGAAAUAUGGAAAGACAAUUAAUGUAAUUAUAUUAAUGAAACUAAUAAAAAGACAUUAUACUUCUUUUUUAUACUAUUAUCCAUGUUUUCAAAAAAUUCUUAUUUAUAAUGAUAUUCAUGUUUUCAAACAAUAUCAAAUAGAUACUUCAAUUUUAAUAAUAACUAGAUCUUGAUCCGUGCGUCCGUACGGGUGUUUGCUUUAAUUUGUAAGAACAUUAUAAAAUUCAUAACUAUUUUAAAAAUUAUGGUAUCGUUAUAUAUUAAAGUUUGACUAUUAUUGUAUUUGUAAUAUGAAUAAAGGAAUACUAAUACAUUCAUAUAUUAAUAUUUUUGUUUCAUUGUUUAUUUGAUAUUAUAACCCAAAUAUUAUAGUUAUUUAUAGUAUUGUAUAUUUAAUUCUAUUUCGGUGGUCCAUAAAAAAAUUAGAAAGAAUGUUUACUCAAUCUAUUAGAUCCUUCGUAUUGUAUUUUUUUAUAUAUAUAUUGAAAACAAUUUUAUAAUGGUUGUUGAAAAAUAAAUUUGUAAAAAUUAAAUUUUGAAUACAUGUAUAUUUUUGAAUCAAUUUUUGUUUUGAAUUUUGUUUAAUGAUUAAUUUAGAAAAAUAUGUUUUUAGUUAAUUAGAUUCGAUCAGUUGCACAAAAAAAAGUAAUUAGAUUGAGUCAUUUUUGAAAUCUGGUCGAAACAGAUAAUUUAUAAAAAUAUAAUGGACAUCAAUUUUUUUAAUAACAUAAACCCAUUAUUUUUUUUAAUAUACUGUUAUUCAUAUUUUCACACAACAUUAUAUUUCUUUUUAAUUAUGUUAUUCUUGUUUCCAAGCAUUUCCAAAGGUACUUCUACUUUAAUAAGAUAAAAGAUAUAAUAUUGCAAAAAUAUGUUGUUAUUUAUUUUUUCAUGUCACUAUUAAAUAUAAUAUAUGUCUCAUCAUAUAAUUAAUCGUGUUUUUUACCUACCAUCAUAUAAGUAAUCAUAUAAUUAAUAGUAUUUUAUAUGUAUCAUCAUAUAAAUAAUUAUAAAUAUUAUAUUUUUAAAACUUAAUAUGAAAUAUAAAAAUCAUAAUUUACGUUGGUGAUUGAAAUUGCUUUGUAUUGAAUUUUUCUUAAAUAAUUUAAAACAUUUUUAUAAUGGUUAUAAAAAACAUUUUAGUAAAAUAAAUUUUUGAGUAUAUGUAUAUUUUUGAAUCAAUUUUUGAGAUAAAUUAAUUUUAAAUUAAUAUUUUGAUUUGAAAUAUGUCUAUAAAAUUUAAAUUUUGUUUUAUGAUUAUUUUAGACAAAAAUAUUUUUAAGUAAUUAGAUUGGGCUAGCCAUUUUCGUAUAUUUUAAAGCUGACUCAUAUAUAUUGUUUUCAUAAUAUAAUGAAUUCCCAAUUUUUCUUGAUAACGUAAGCCCUUUACUUUUUUUCUUUAAUAUAUUGUUAUUCAUGUUUCCAAACAACACUAUAUAUUUUUUUAACUUCUAUCUUCUUUUUUUGUCAUCAACGUAUAUACAUACUCAUACAGACUCUGUGAACCAAGCCGGGAGAUGUUGAUCCAUGUGAACGACGAAAGACGGUUGCUUUCUGACACUACGUGCUAGGCUAUCCGCCUUUGUAUUUUGCGUUCUUGGUACAUGGACAAUCUCUGAUCGGAGAAAACUUUCUUUCAGGAAUUUAAUAUCUUCUAAAUAACUUGCAAAAUCUGGUCAUUUUUCUGAUUCCAAAACCAUCUUCACCAAUUGAGAACAAUCCAUUGCAAACGUAACCUGAAAUUGACGUAAAUUCCUCAUACAUUCCAUUGCCUAGAGUAGUGCUUCCAUCUCCGCAUAGAGAGGAGAUAGACUAGCCCGAACAUUCCUCGCCCUCAUCUGCCCAUCAAAACCUUCUAAAGUACUGAACCAACCAUGUCCGGAGAAAACGUCUUUCUCUUUUCAGGAACCAUCUGUGAAACACCAUCUACCUGGAAUUAACGGUAAUGACUAACCUCUACCUGUGAUACUAUCCUCUGUUUCUUUGCUAUAUGCGCUUCAGUCCAAAGUGUGGACUAUGUUUCUGCUAAUUUUAAAUUCUAUCUAUGUUACCAAACAAAAACUUAAAGUACUUCUACUUUAAUAAGAUAGAUAUAAUAUAGAUAUAAGUUAUAUAAAGAUUAAGCACCAACAUUAAGUCAAGUAGUGACCACGUUUAGGUUUCAAGACAACUUCUUCUCUUGUUUCUGGCCUUGGAGGAGAAAAUCACAUCCAAGACUCAAGCGAUAAUUCAACCGCACCGCAGUACCUGCAAAAUAUGUAGAGUUAUUCUUGGGUUCACCCUCAAGAGGUUCACCAACUAAUAGGAUUUCAUUAUUUUAAAUUCGAUAUUUUUUAGAAAAGAAAACAAAAUAUUAUCAGGUUAUAUUAUAUUUUUAAAAUAAAAAAUAGUAGUUACAGAAAAAAAAUUUAAAAAAAUAUUUUUGACGUCGUCAGCAAAACAUUAAACCCUAAAUUCUAAUCCCUAAACUCUAAAUCCGAAACUCUAAACCCUUGGAUAAAUUAUAAACUCUAAAUCAAAAACAAUAAACACUAAAACCCUAAACCAUAAAUCCUAAACCCUAAACCUUUGAGCGUUUUAGUGUUUAAUAUUUUUGAUUUAGAGUUUAGGAUUUAUCCAAGGGUUUAAGAUUUACCCAAGGGUUUAGGUUUUAGGAUUUGGGGUUUAAGGAUUAGGAUUUAGUUUUUUCUUGACGAUGUUAAAAGUAUUUUUUUUGUAAUUACUACUAUUUUUAAUUUAUUUUUUAUUUUAAAUAUAUAAUAUAACCUGAUAAUACUUUGUUUCUUUUAAUAAAAGAUAUCGAAUUUGAAAUAACACAAUCCUAUUGGUUGGUGAACCUAGAGGUUCGCCCUAGGGGGCGAACCCAAGAAUAAGUCAAAUAUGUAUAUAGACUUUCGUCCCAUUUUAAACCAACUUAAUAAGGGUUUUCUAUUUUAUGAAGUAAUUUUUUACUAGAGGUGGGUAUUUGGAUAUCCGUUCGGGUUUGAUUUUGUAUUUAUUCGAGUUUUAAAUUUUUGGAGUUAGAAAGUUAAACUUCACUCGGGUAUUUAUACAUUUUGGUUUGAAUUUAUAUAAGAUUUUUGCGGGUUUGGUUCCGGUUCAGUAUCCAUUUAAAUUACUUUAAUAAAAUAAAAAAUAUAUACUUAAAAAUUCUAAAAGUCCAAAAAUAAAAUAACAUAUAGCAUAUAAGUUUGAAUAGUUUAUGUCUUAAUAUCUAAAUUAAAAUAAAAUUGUUUUGUUAUUGACAUUUGGAAGGAAAAAUUGUUACGUAUUUUGAGUACUUUUGGUAUUUUGAAUAUAUUUUAGCCAUUUUGGAUUUUGGCUGCUUGUAUAUAUUUCUAGGUAUUUUAGACACUUUCAAAAAUGUAUAGUUUUAGAUAUUAGAUUUAAAAAAUUAAUGUAUUUAGAUAAAUAAUAUAUAUUUGGAUAUUUUUGGAUACCUAAAAUAUUUCAGUUCAGAUAAGUUUGGUUUCGAGUUCUUCAAAUACCAAAAUUUUGACUUCAUCUGGAUAUUUAAUCAGAUUCGGUUCAGGUAUAGUAUUACUUUUCAGAUAAAUUUCGAUUCAGUUCUUCGGGUCUGGGCAUUUUGCCCAGCACUAGUUUUUACCUUCCUUUUUAAAAUAAUCGUUCAUAAGAUAUCAUGCGAGGACAUGAGCUACACAUAACAUGCAGAUGCGGAUGACUGUUUUUGUUCGUCACUUGUCACUCACUUCACAGCGAUACACACACAUGCAUGCAUUAUUACACGUGAUCGCCAUGCAAAUCUCCAUUCUCACCUAUAAAUUACGUCCUCAGCUUCACACUUUACUCAAAUCAAAAUCAUCAUAAUUACAAACAAGGUUAAAAACAUACACAAAUGGCGAACAAGCUCUUCCUCGUCUCGGCAACUCUCGCCUUCUUCUUCCUUCUCACCAAUGCCUCCGUCUACAGGACGGUUGUGGAAGUCGACGAAGAUGAUGCCACAAACCCAGCCGGUCCAUUUAGGAUUCCAAAAUGUAGGAAGGAGUUUCAGCAAGCACAACACCUAAGAGCUUGCCAGCAAUGGCUCCACAAGCAGGCAAUGCAGUCUGGUAGUGGUCCAAGCUGGACCCUCGACGGUGAAUUUGAUUUUGAAGACGACAUGGAGAACCCCCAGGGCCCACAACAGAGGCCCCCGCUACUCCAGCAGUGCUGCAACGAGCUCCAUCAGGAAGAGCCACUUUGCGUUUGCCCAACCUUGAAAGGAGCAUCCAAAGCCGUUAAACAACAGGUUCGACAACAGGGACAACAGCAGGGACAGCAGGGACAGCAGCUGCAGCAAGUAAUUAGCCGUAUCUACCAGACCGCUACGCACUUACCUAGAGUUUGCAACAUCCCGCAAGUUAGCAUUUGUCCCUUCCAGAAGACCACGCCUGGGCCCUACUACUAGAUUCCAAACGAAAUCCUCGGGAAUGUAUAUACCGCGGUGAUGAAUGUGGUUGUUGAUGUAUGUUAACACUUCAUAGUCAUGGUGUGUGUUCCAUAAAUAAUGUACGUUAAAAUGUUCGAGG